UCAAGAUCGAACUCUCCCACGCGGAGGUAAGCGCCGUGAUAUCCGUGAUUUGGGGAGGAGUGGUCCAGAUAUGCGGACCGAGUGGCUGUGCGUGAGGGCAAGAUGGAGGCUAAAGGCUGGCGUGGAGGAGUGACUUUGCUGAAAUUUUUAACGCCGACUGGUUCAUCUCAUUUCUAUCAAAGGAUGUAAGGAUUGUGAAUGGGCUUCCAAAGAUAGGAGGUAAACUGUGGGCUCCUAUUCCUGAAAAACUUCAAAAUUACUUUGCUUCCAAACGCACACAAGCUUUCUGUGAAGUAGAGUUUCUCUGUUGGCUUUUGAACCAUUAGCUAUUGCCAUGGAUGUUUACUGUACACCUUGUUUUCAGCAUCACUACGAUUUCCAGUGACUACUUGCAAUGUUCCAUGUAGGGUUAAGUAUUAAUAUCUGGUACAGAUUAAGGGGAGUUUCACCA
Triticum dicoccoides is the source of this 451-nucleotide long non-coding RNA. RefSeq lists it as uncharacterized. Lineage: Eukaryota; Viridiplantae; Streptophyta; Magnoliopsida; Poales; Poaceae. The transcript is spliced from 3 exons. The record is from RefSeq and is a predicted model, not a curated record.